ACUAGGAAUUUUGCGCAAUGGGGGCAACCCUGACGCAGCGACACAGCGUGGAGGAGGAAGGUCUUCGGAUUGUAAACUCCUUUUAUAUGGGAAGAAUAGAUGACUGUACCAUAUGAAUAAGCACCUGCUAACUACGUGCCAGAAGCAUCGGUGAUGCGUAGGGUGCGAACGUUAUCCGGAUUUAUUGGGCGUAAAGAGAUGCGUAGGCGUUUCAGUUAGUCUUUCGGUAAAAGUCACGGCUUAACCGUGAAGAUGCGUUGGAUACUGCUGAAAUUGAGACAUGAAGGGGUGAACGGAACUCCAAGUGGAGCGGUGAAAUGCGUUGAUAUUUGGAAGAACAUCAGAGGCGAAGGCGGUUCACUGGUCAUUGUCUGACGCUAAGGCUCGAAAGCGUGGGUAGCAAAACGGAUUAGAUACCCGUGUAGUCC
This 428-nucleotide ribosomal RNA is filed under the name uncultured bacterium. RNAcentral's name for it is "partial 16S ribosomal RNA". It matches the Rfam family "Bacterial small subunit ribosomal RNA", at positions 354 to 796 of the family's 1533-position model. The record is from RNAcentral.